GCCACUGCUAUUGGGGUUCGGCUAAGCCAUGCGAGUGGAGGGCGUCCCGCAAGGGAUGGCCACGCAGACGGCUCAGUAACACGUCGUCAACCCACCUUAGGGUGGGGGACAACCUCGGGAAACUGAGGAUAAUCCCCCAUAGGCGGGGGAGGCUGGAGUGCGCCCCCGCUGAAAGCUCAGGCGCCCUAGGACGGGACGGCGGCCUAUCAGGUAGUCCGGUGGUGUGACG
Molecule: ribosomal RNA, 229 nt
Filed under: uncultured archaeon
Lineage: Archaea
Description: partial 16S ribosomal RNA
Rfam family: Archaeal small subunit ribosomal RNA
Source: RNAcentral